RNAcentral lists this RNase P RNA (514 nucleotides) under Acidobacteriota bacterium. Its description in RNAcentral is "Acidobacteria bacterium RNase P RNA component class A". It matches the Rfam family "Bacterial RNase P class A". From Rfam's summary of the family: Ribonuclease P (RNase P) is a ubiquitous endoribonuclease, found in archaea, bacteria and eukarya as well as chloroplasts and mitochondria. Its best characterised activity is the generation of mature 5'-ends of tRNAs by cleaving the 5'-leader elements of precursor-tRNAs. Cellular RNase Ps are ribonucleoproteins. The record is from RNAcentral. Lineage: Bacteria; Pseudomonadati; Acidobacteriota.
CGAGCGGGCUGGGCGAUCGCUGGGCGAAUCCUGAAAAGGAAGAGCCUGGAGGAAAGUCCGGACUCCGCAGGGCAGCGCGCCUGGUAACGCCAGGGGGCCAAACGCCGGUGAUGCGGGCGUUGGGCCACGGAUAGUGCCACAGAAAAUAAACCGCCGGUGAACGCGGAUCGAUGAUCAGCCCGAGGCCAAACCUCUGGCGGAUCUUUUUCAAUCGCGCCACUUGGCAAGGGUGAAACGGUAGGGUAAGAGCCUACCGCGCGGGCAGCAAUGUCCGCGGCACGGUAAACCCCGCGCGGUGCAAGGCCAAAUAGGAGGGGAGGGCCGGCCCGGCCCGUUAAUGUGAGAGCGCUUCGCGGCGUUCUCACGAAACCCUCGGGUAGGCCGCACCGAGCCGUCGAGCGAUCGGCGGCCCAGAGGAAUGAUCGCCUCCGCGACUGAGCACGGCGUCGCGGCUUCAUGCCGCGAUGGCUCUCAGCCGUGAAGACAGAAUCCGGCUUAUAGGCCCGCUCGCUCU